UUUUGUAAGGUCUCUUGUACAUAUCCUUCUUCAUCAAUAUAUAAAAGAAAUUUUCUUUUGAAUGUCUUCUCCAUUUUUAUUUUCAAACAUGUUUCUUGUAAAACUUUAACACAAUCUUAUGCUUUGAACAAUGCGUUCGAGAUUUGAUUUAGGGUGGCUUCCUCGAAGUCACCACAGUCGAGGUCGAAUAAGGUUUGAACCUGAACCACAUGCCUUUUAGGGUUUGUUUCGAAUAAUGAUGAGUCCUCAAGCCAUAGUCAAGUCAGUUUUUAUUUGGGCUCGGAAUAGUUGAACCCUUAAGUUCAGACGUAGUGAGAACAAGAUCUCCAACUCUAAGUGUAUUGGCCCUUAGGCUCUUUAUAUUGGGCCAAUGGCCUCUACAAGAUGUCUAUUAUUCCCCUCUUUCU
Molecule: long non-coding RNA, 407 nt
Filed under: Nicotiana benthamiana
Lineage: Eukaryota; Viridiplantae; Streptophyta; Magnoliopsida; Solanales; Solanaceae
Description: long non-coding RNA (NBEN_LNC008424)
Source: RNAcentral